UACGUAGGUGGCAAGCGUUGUCCGGAUUUACUGGGUGUAAAGGGCGUGUAGCCGGGAAGGCAAGUCAGAUGUGAAAUCUGGAGGCUCAACCUCCAAACUGCAUUUGAAACUGUCUUUCUUGAGUAUCGGAGAGGUAAUCGGAAUUCCUUGUGUAGCGGUGAAAUGCGUAGAUAUAAGGAGGAACACCAGUGGCGAAGGCGGAUUACUGGACGACAACUGACGGUGAGGCGCGAAAGCGUGGGGAGCAAACAGG
RNAcentral lists this ribosomal RNA (253 nucleotides) under Oscillibacter ruminantium GH1. Its description in RNAcentral is "partial 16S ribosomal RNA". It matches the Rfam family "Bacterial small subunit ribosomal RNA", at positions 524 to 776 of the family's 1533-position model. Lineage: Bacteria; Bacillati; Bacillota; Clostridia; Eubacteriales; Oscillospiraceae. The record is from RNAcentral.